RNAcentral lists this ribosomal RNA (429 nucleotides) under Acidobacteriota bacterium. Its description in RNAcentral is "Acidobacteria bacterium partial 16S ribosomal RNA". It matches the Rfam family "Bacterial small subunit ribosomal RNA", at positions 355 to 776 of the family's 1533-position model. The record is from RNAcentral. Lineage: Bacteria; Pseudomonadati; Acidobacteriota.
UGGGGAAUUUUGGACAAUGGGGGAAACCCUGAUCCAGCCAUCCCGCGUGUGCGAUGAAGGCCUUCGGGUUGUAAAGCACUUUUGGCAGGAAAGAAACGUCAUGGGUUAAUACCCCGUGAAACUGACGGUACCUGCAGACUAAGCACCGGCUAACUACGUGCCAGCAGCCGCGGUAAUACGUAGGGUGCAAGCGUUAAUCGGAAUUACUGGGCGUAAAGCGUGCGCAGGCGGUUCGGAAAGAAAGAUGUGAAAUCCCAGAGCUCAACUUUGGAACUGCAUUUAUAACUACCGGGCUGGAGUGUGUCAGAGGGAGGUGGAAUUCCGCGUGUAGCAGUGAAAUGCGUAGAUAUGCGGAGGAACACCGAUGGCGAAGGCAGCCUCCUGGGAUAACACUGACGCUCAUGCACGAAAGCGUGGGGAGCAAACAGG